RNAcentral lists this ribosomal RNA (462 nucleotides) under uncultured bacterium. RNAcentral describes it as "partial 16S ribosomal RNA". It matches the Rfam family "Bacterial small subunit ribosomal RNA", at positions 28 to 506 of the family's 1533-position model. The record is from RNAcentral.
GACGAACGCUGGCGGCACGCCUAACACAUGCAAGUCGAACGGACUUACAAGAGCUUGCUUUUUUAAGUUAGUGGCGGACGGGUGAGUAACACGUGAGCAACCUGCCUCUGAGAGGGGGAUAGCUUCUGGAAACGGAUGGUAAUACCCCAUAAAAUAUAAAUAUCGCAUGAUAGAUAUAUCAAAGAAAUUCGCUCAGAGAUGGGCUCGCGUCUGAUUAGAUAGUUGGUGAGGUAACGGCUCACCAAGUCGACGAUCAGUAGCCGGACUGAGAGGUUGAACGGCCACAUUGGGACUGAGACACGGCCCAGACUCCUACGGGAGGCAGCAGUGGGGAAUAUUGCACAAUGGAGGGAACUCUGAUGCAGCGAUGCCGCGUGGAGGAAGAAGGUUUUCGGAUUGUAAACUCCUUUUAUCAGGGACGAUAAUGACGGUACCUGAAGAAAAAGCUCCGGCUAACUACGU